ACUCCUACGGGAGGCAGCAGUGGGGAAUUUUCCGCAAUGGGCGCAAGCCUGACGGAGCAACGCCGCGUGAGGGAUGAAGGCCUCUGGGCUGUAAACCUCUUUUAUCAAGGAAGAAGAUCUGACGGUACUUGAUGAAUAAGCCACGGCUAAUUCCGUG
RNAcentral lists this ribosomal RNA (157 nucleotides) under uncultured bacterium. RNAcentral describes it as "partial 16S ribosomal RNA". It matches the Rfam family "Bacterial small subunit ribosomal RNA", at positions 335 to 507 of the family's 1533-position model. The record is from RNAcentral.